UAGUAACGGCGAGUGAAGCGGCAACAGCUCAAAUUUGAAAUCUGGCCUCUGGCCCGAGUUGUAAUUUGUAGAGGAUGCUUUUGGUGAGGUGCCUUCCGAGUUCCCUGGAACGGGACGCCAUAGAGGGUGAGAGCCCCGUCUGGUUGGACACCGAGCCUCUGUAAAGCUCCUUCGACGAGUCGAGUAGUUUGGGAAUGCUGCUCUAAAUGGGAGGUAUAUGUCUUCUAAAGCUAAAUACCGGCCAGAGACCGAUAGCGCACAAGUAGAGUGAUCGAAAGAUGAAAAGCACUUUGAAAAGAGGGUUAAACAGUACGUGAAAUUGUUGAAAGGGAAGCGCUUGUGACCAGACUUGGGCUUGGUUAAUCAUCCAGUGUUCUUCACUGGUGCACUUGGCCGGCCCAGGCCAGCAUCAGUUCGGUGCGGGGGAUAAAGGCUUCGGGAAUGUGGCUCCCCCGGGAGUGUUAUAGCCCGUUGUGCAAUACCCUGCGCCGGACUGAGGUUCGCGCAUCUGCAAGGAUGCUGGCGUAAUGGUCAUCAGCGACCCGUCUUGAAACACGGACCAAGGAGUCGUCUUCGUAUGCGAGUGUUCGGGUGUCAAACCCCUACGCGUAAUGAAAGUGAACGCAGGUGAGAGCUUCGGCGCAUCAUCGACCGAUCCUGAUGUUCUCGGAUGGAUUUGAGUAAGAGCAUACGGGGCCGGACCCGAAAGAAGGUGAACUAUGCCUGUAUAGGGUGAAGCCAGAGGAAACUCUGGUGGAGGCUCGCAGCGGUUCUGACGUGCAAAUCGAUCGUCAAAUAU
This 799-nucleotide ribosomal RNA is filed under the name Paracremonium inflatum. RNAcentral's name for it is "eukaryotic LSU rRNA". It matches the Rfam family "Eukaryotic large subunit ribosomal RNA", at positions 81 to 912 of the family's 3401-position model. Lineage: Eukaryota; Fungi; Ascomycota; Sordariomycetes; Hypocreales; Nectriaceae. The record is from RNAcentral.